CUGCAGUCACAGGGGUCCUGGUGAAUGCCUCUGUCACUGUCGAAGGCAAAUGUCAAAACUCCCUGGACAUCCAAAACCUCAGCCAUCAUCGUGAAUGAUCUGGAAAACCUGAGGAAGAGGCGAGCUUGCAGGGUGGGGUGAGGAGGCAGGUUGAGGAUUCCAGGCCAGAUGCUAGAGGCUGGUACAGAGGAAUAGCACCCACCCAGAAUAGCACGGACUGCUCAAGUUGGCAGGGAUCUCUAUUUUACAAAAGGGCCCAAAGAGAGGCAGCGAGUUAUCCAAGGUCACAUAGGGAGGGAAGGAAAGAACCAGGACUAGAAUCCACAGGGCCCUGUCCCUCUGGGACACACACACUCCCCUUCCAGUGGAAUGAAAUAGGAGAGAUAGGGAGAGACAGUUUCACCAUGUUGGCCAGGCUGGUCUCAAACUCCUGUUCUCAUGUGAUCCACCUGCCUCAGCCUCCCAAAGUGUUGGGAUUACAGGCGUGAGCCACCACACCUGGCCACAGUGCCCCAUUUCUGACCUUCACAGACAUCCCCCAUCCAAGAACAAGAAGCUGAAAAUGCCCUCAGAAGGUCAGAGAAGCAGAGGGCUCUUCUCCCCAUCCCCAACCCAAAGGUGGACAAAACCUUAGAAGGUGAGAGGGACACAGAGACCCCUUUCCUAAGCAAAGGAAAGAAAUCUGUCAAGUCAGCAGCUGAAGCCCAGAGCCCCUUCGCAAGGGAAAGACUUUGGGGUGAUGGUGGGUGGGAUGCAGAGGGGUCCCCUGGACAUUGGCGGGACGUAGUGCUGACUGUGAUGGCAGCCACGGGUUUCUUGGGCCUUUUCGGUGCAUCCUCCCCGCAAGCCUCCACCACGCUGUUCCAGGUAGGCUGAGGUUAGGCCCACUCAGGGCGGCACCUUGGCGCAGGACACCUCUUCCGUUUGGGCUUUCCGUCCUCGUGAUUUCGCUCUCCAUCUGACAGUCAUCCAUGGUGACAGGGUGUGUCCCUUUCCCCUAAACAGGAUCCUCAAUGCCCAUCGGAAAACGUUGUAAGGCGUUGAGCCCCCAACGCCCCCUCACCACAAGACCCUGCUGUGACCAUCUUUUCCUGGUGAGGAGAGUCUGCACGGGGGAGCAGGGCGCCAUACCCCAGAAAGAAACCUCUGUGCCUGGGAGUGAGGGACUCGCUGAGUAAAGUGAGGUCGAAGAGGGUGGAGAGGGGUAGGGUCCCAGUCACCACUGUCCUGAACCCACAGUUCAGUCCGGGCCCAAGAUGGCCCCACAGGAGCACAGGGGGUUUCGGGCGCUGCAGGUGGAGGUGAAGGACCAGCUGCGGUGCGGAAAGGCCUGACCCGGGCGGCAGAUCGCCUGCGGAGAGAAUGACCGGCUGGGGUG
This 1378-nucleotide long non-coding RNA is filed under the name Homo sapiens (human). RNAcentral's name for it is "HSALNT0240390". Lineage: Eukaryota; Metazoa; Chordata; Mammalia; Primates; Hominidae. The record is from RNAcentral.